AUACGGAGGGGGCUAGCGUUGUUCGGAAUUACUGGGCGUAAAGGGCACGUAGGCGGGUUCCUAAGUCGGGGGUGAAAUCCCGGGGCUCAACCCCGGAACUGCCCUCGAUACUGGGAGUCUCGAGGACGGGAGAGGCGAGUGGAAUUCCGAGUGUAGAGGUGAAAUUCGUAGAUAUUCGGAGGAACACCAGUGGCGAAGGCGGCUCGCUGGCCCGAUCCUGACGCUGAGGUGCGAAAGCGUGGGGAGCAAACAGGAUUAGAAACCCUAGUAGUCC
This 274-nucleotide ribosomal RNA is filed under the name uncultured bacterium. RNAcentral's name for it is "partial 16S ribosomal RNA". It matches the Rfam family "Bacterial small subunit ribosomal RNA", at positions 523 to 796 of the family's 1533-position model. The record is from RNAcentral.